Molecule: non-coding RNA, 3559 nt
Organism: Chlorocebus sabaeus (green monkey)
Lineage: Eukaryota; Metazoa; Chordata; Mammalia; Primates; Cercopithecidae
Source: RefSeq, a predicted model, not a curated record
CCACUGCACUCUGACCUGGGUGACACAGUGAGACCUUGUCUCCAGAAAAAACAACAACAAAAGGAGGAAAUGAAAAUCUAGAAAAAUACGUGAAAUCUUUUCCUAUCAAAUGUUUCCCCCUAAGCUUUAAUGAUCCUAUUUCAAUAAAGGAAAUAUGGGAUAAUAUUGAUGACUGGCAGCAUGUAGUGGUUAAGAGCACCGGACUGGGAGCUGAAGAGUCUGUGAUUCCCGAAUUCCUGGGCUCAAGCGAUCCUCCCACCUCGAUCUCCCAAACUAUUGGGACUAUAGGCAUGAGCCAACAUGCAUGGCCGAGUCUGUGAUUCUUUACUGGAAUUGAGUGACGUGUGUUUUCUUCUUAAAUGACAUUGUGAAUUUCCAAGAUCCUUGAAAUCUCUUUGCAUCUCUUUCCAAUUUGCCGUCACUAUGCCUGAAGUUCAGCUGAAAUGCUCAUAUUUCAGCUUAGACCAUUACCUGUAUUCUGAUCGAAUAUGUUAUGGCAUCGAAGCUAAUUUUGAGACAUGGUCCCUAGGCCAUGGGACCUAAUGACCAGAGAUGGAAGUCCAUGUGCUGCUUCUGUCCCAAGGGAGAUGAGUAUCUGUUAGGGGCUCACUCGGGACUCUGUGCUGCUACCUGAGUGCGACGCAGAUGCUGGAGACUUGAGAAGAUAUCACUGUAGACCCCAACCCUGUUAUAGCUGAUGAGGAAAAAAACUGAGACCAUGUAUUAUUGCCCCCACAAAAUGCACGUAUUAUAUUGAUAAGAUGUGAACAAUAUAUUAUUCCUCAAUAUUCUGCAAGUUGCCUUUCCAUUUUGUUGAUCGUUACUGAAUUCUUCCACCCCCAAAAAGGAUUAUAUGAGAAGAUGGUGAACAAUUGUUUGCCAACACAUUAGAUAACCUAGAUGAAGUGGACAAAUUCCUAGAAAUGUACAAACUAUGAAAACUGACUCAGGAAGAAACAGAUUUCAUUUCCUUCAGCUCUAUACCCAGAAGUGGAUAGCUGGAUCGUAUGGUAGUUCUAUUUUUAAUUUUUUGAUGGACAUUCACAGGCCUGGAGGCCGAAGAGGGAAGAAAGGAUUUUUGGACCCGGCCCAGGACCCUGCUGGCCUGCGCACCCUCGGGACACUGCUAUCUGUGCCCCAGCUGCUCCAGCUUCAGCCAUGUCUAAAAGGGCCCCAGAUACACUUCUGGCUGCUGCCCCAGAGGGUGCAAGCUGUAAGCCUUGGUGGCUUCCAUGUGGUGUUAAGCCUGCGGGUAUGCAGAGGGCAAAAGCUGAGGCUUGGGAACCUCUGCCUACAUUCAGAGGAUGUAUGGAAACACCUGAAUGUCCAGGCAGAAGUCUGCUGCAGGGAUGGAGCCCUCCUGGGGAAACUCAACUAGGGUAGUGUGGAAGGGAAACCUGGGGUUGGAGUCCCUACACAGAGUCCCCCCUGGGGCACUGCCUGGUGGAGCUGUGAGAAGGGGGCCACCGUCCUCCAGACCCCAGAAUCGUAGAUCCACCGGCAACUUGCAUUAUACUCCUGGAAAAGCUGCAGACACUCAACACCAGCCCAGGAGAGCAGUCGAGGGGGCUGUAUCCUGCAGAGCCACAGAAGCGGAGGUGCCCAAGGCCUUGGGAGCCCACCCCUUGCAUCAGUGUGGCCUGGAUGUAAGACAUGGAGUCAAAGGAGAUUAUUUUGGAGCUUUAAGAAUUAAUGACGAUUUUCUGCUGUGCCCGCCCACACAUGUAGUUUCCUCCGCACGUGCGUGCCUUCCCUCCUCCCGGCCUUCAGGGUCCGUGGCCACCAUGGCGUAUUAGGGGUAGCAGUGCCUGUGGCAGCAUUGGUCUUUGCAGUGGUGGCAGCAGCACCAGGCUCUGCAGUGGCACCCACCGGCGGCUUAAGCCAUGGCACUUCUCACAGCAUUCAGCAGCAGCAUUGCUGUAACUGACAAAGACACCUUCGAAUUAAGCACAUUCCUUGAUUCCAGCAAAGCACUGCACCAUGACCAGGAUGAGCUUCCUGAGCAGUGAGGUGUUGGUGGGGGCUUGAUGUCCCCCUUUGACCAGUCAGGUUUGGGGACUGAAGAAAGCCUAGGUCUCUUAGAUGACUACCUGGAGGUGGCCAGGCACUUCAAACCUCAUGGGUUCUCCAGCAACAAGGCUAAGGCAGACUCCUCCGAAUGGCUGCCUGUGGAUGGGCUGGUCAGUGCCUCCAACAAUGGCAAGGAGGAUGCUUUCUUUGGGACAGACUGGAUGUUGGAGAAAACGGAUCUGAAGGAGUUCGACUUUAAUGCCCUGUUGGGUAUAGAUGACCUGGAAACCAUGCCAGAUGAGCUUCUGGCCACGUUGGAUGACUCGUGUGAUCUCUUUGUCCCCCUAGUCCAGGAGACUAAUAAGGAGCCCCCUCAGAUGGUGAACCCGAAUUGCCAUCUCCCAGAAAGGUGAACAAAACCCAACCAGGUUGCCCCCUUCACCUUCUUGCAACCUCUUCCCCUUUCCCCAGAGGUCCUGUCCUCCACUCUAGAUUAUUCCUGUAGUCUAGAGCUGGGAAGUGAAGCGGAUAGCUCUGAAGGAGAUAGGAAGCCAGACUUCACUGCUUACAUUUCCAUGAUCCCUCAGUGCAUAAAGGAGGAAGUCACUCCCUCAGAUAAUGAUAGUGGCAUCUGUAUGAGCCCAGAGUCCUAUCUCAGCUCUCCCCAGCACAUCCCCUCUACCUCCAGGGGCUCUCCAAGUAGGAGCCUGCCAUCUCCAGGUGUCCUCUGUGGCUCUGCCUGUCCCAAACCUUAUGACCCUCCUGGGGAGAAGAUGGUAUCAGCACAAGUAAAGGGUGAGAAACUGGAUAAGAAGCUGAAAAAAUGGAGCAAAAACAGAACAGCAGAAACUAGGUAUCACCAGAAGAAGAGGGUGGAGUAGGAGGUCCUCGCUGGUGAGUGCAAAGCCCUGGAAAAGAAGAACGAGACUCUGAAAGAGAGGGCAGAUUCCCUGGCCAAGGAGAUCCAGUACAUGAAAGAUUCGAUAGAAGAGGUCUGCAAGGCAAGAGGGAAGAAAAGGGUCCUCUAGUUGAGGGUAGUCAGGAGCAUCAGUGUGCUUGUACACAGGAGUCUCGUGCUGUAGCUGUGUGUUUGAAUAAAUUAUUUUGUAAUGGGAAAAAAAAAAAGAAUUAAUGGCUGUCCUGUUGGGUUUUGGACUUGCAUGGGGCCUGUAGCCCCUUUGUUUUGGCCGAUGUCCCCCUUUUGGAAAGGGAGUCUUUACCCAAUGCCUGUACCUCAAUUGUAUCUUGGAAGUAACUGACUUGCUUUUGAUUUUACAGGCUCAUGGGCAGAAGGGACUUGCCUUAUCUCAGAUGAGACUUUGGACUGUGGAGUUUCGAGUUAGUGCUGAAAUGGGUUAAGACUUGGGGGACUGUUGAGAGGAGAUGAUUGUAUUUUGCAAUGUGAGAAGUACAUGAGAUUUGGGAGGGGGCAGGAGUGGAAUGAUAUGGUUUGGAUUUAUGUCCCUGCCCAAAUCUCAUGUUGAAUUGUAAUUGUAAUCCAACUGAAUUGUUGGAGAAGGAGCCUGGUGGGAGGUGAUUGGAUCAUGGG